CGCGUAGGCGGCCUUCUAAGUCGAACGUGAAAUCCCCGGGCUCAACCCGGGAGCUGCGUCCGAUACUGGAAGGCUUGAAUCCGGGAGAGGGAUGCGGAAUUCCAGGUGUAGCGGUGAAAUGCGUAGAUAUCUGGAGGAACACCGGUGGCGAAGGCGGCAUCCUGGACCGGCAUUGACGCUGAGGCGCGAAAGCCAGGGGAGCAAACG
Molecule: ribosomal RNA, 207 nt
Filed under: uncultured bacterium
Lineage: Bacteria
Description: partial 16S ribosomal RNA
Rfam family: Bacterial small subunit ribosomal RNA
Source: RNAcentral